UACGGAGGGUGCGAGCGUUAAUCGGAAUUACUGGGCGUAAAGCGCACGCAGGCGGUUUGUUAAGCUAGAUGUGAAAGCCCCGGGCUCAACCUGGGAUGGUCAUUUAGAACUGGCAGACUAGAGUCUUGGAGAGGGGAGUGGAAUUCCAGGUGUAGCGGUGAAAUGCGUAGAUAUCUGGAGGAACAUCAGUGGCGAAGGCGACUCCCUGGCCAAAGACUGACGCUCAUGUGCGAAAGUGUGGGGAGCGAACAGG
This 253-nucleotide ribosomal RNA is filed under the name uncultured bacterium. Its description in RNAcentral is "partial 16S ribosomal RNA". It matches the Rfam family "Bacterial small subunit ribosomal RNA", at positions 524 to 776 of the family's 1533-position model. The record is from RNAcentral.